AUUUGAGAUCAGAUGAAAAAAAAACUUGACGUAAAUGUCUCAGAAGUAAAACUUUUCCGAGAAAAAUUCAGUAUUUUUUAUUUGAAGUGUUUCUUUUUCGUGACUCGGGCUUUGUUCUCUCCGAUUUGUGACUCGAGAUGACGGCAAAGCUUGUGAGUUGAUUGAGUGUUUGACCUCAGGGAAGACAAACCAAACAAUUGCACUCCCCUGCAAAGAUACAGAAUAGAGAGAGAGAGAGGGAGGAGAGAAAAGGAUACUUCCAAAACCUGAGAUGACCUCAGAGAAGCUCGUUUAGGGAUGAAACAAACUCUUCUUCUUUCUUGAACUGCUGCCUUUGAGCUCUGAAGUCACAAUGACGGAGGAAGAUGGAAGGAAAAGAGAAGAGAGGAGAUAAAACAGCUCGAGGGCAGAAAAGGUACAAGAGGAGAAAAAAGGCUGAAAGAAAUGACUAUUUGUUCUACUUGAAAGAAGGAGGCCACUGAAGUGGAGCACUUUAUUAAAUGUCUCUGGGAUGUUGACUCAAACUUUAGUCAUACCAGCUUUGGUUUCACGCCUAAAAGAAGUCAUACAUAUUUAUAUUACAAUCCUUUUAAAGCGGUGUACAGAACAAGAGAGCUGUCCGUGGUGCUGAUCCCAGAGCUUUUGGGAACCAUGUAUAUGACAGUGGACCAAAGUUUCCUAUUUCUCUCCUACUUGCUGAGUUACUAAACCAUCUGUGCCAGUGUUUCUGUAAAAUCCAGAAUCUAUACGUUGCAGCUGCAGCAGUCUGUGGGGUUUCUCAGUGGGGACGAAGGUUUCAACCACCUCCCUGUGUGAUGAUUCCCAUUAUGCUUGGCUGUGUGCACUUCCUGUACACAUGUGUAGCUCCGUCUUGUACCAUCUGCUUGCAUCAUAUGGAGUUUAUUUCCCCGCUAGCUACUGCUACAGUUGUUGCGCUCAGCAUAUAGUAACUUUGAUAGUUUUGACUGAGGUACGCACACCCACUGGGAUUGCUCCAACCACCACAGGGUACUUGUUGUUUUACUCCGAGGAGUCUUUUCUGUCAAAUGGGCCCUCCACAAGGUCUGUUUACUUUAGAGUACACCACAGUUUUCUGGAAAACAAGUAGAAAAGCAGUUAAAAGUGAAGCUGCAGGUCUAAUCUGUCUUCCUGUGUAUCCCAGCAUGCUUUGUUGAGCAGCUGCUUGCAAAAUACAGUUAACGAGGAUGAAAAUUUUAUUGUCAGGUCAGUGUUUUUUUACGCGCUUCUAACUCAGUUAGUCCACGCUACACACACUCAAACUCUUCGUCUCUCUUAGUGAAACGAAGUCACGCUUUAGCUCGUUUCUGCCUACUUUUCGUACCAUCUGCCAUGUUUUUUUCCCUCGAAGUCUCUGUUAUCAUUUGCGUAGACUGCCUCUCACAAGACUGUUUUCCAAAGCACCCGGAAGAAAGGAAUCAUUAAGGGAAUCGUUAAAAUGAAAUGUAAAUGAGGUCGAUGGAUUGAACUAUUUGGAACCGGUUCUCAACAAGAACGGUUCUGGAUUCUUAUCCCUAGUCUCACCUCUGUCCAUCUCUCUUUAAACCAGCUCAGUCUUGGCAGAUGACUGUUUAACAUGAGUCUGGUUCUGCUCGAGGUUUCUGCCUGUUAAAGGAAGUUCUUCCCCUCCACUCUAACUCCUUAGAUGCUGAAAAGUGUGUUGCUUGUGUGGUUUCAGAUGGGAUGGAAGUGGGUCUGAUCUUUCAAGAUGGGUCUCAGUCUGAUCCUGUCUUUACAUCGGGUCUUUGUAAACAGUUUGGUUGAGAUAAUGUUGUAUUAUCGACAAAGCUCGUUGAAUUCCAGAUUGAUCUGAGUUUUGCUGUCCAAUCAGAGUCUUGAAAUCUGUGUGUUAAGGCUGGGCGAUAACCCGAAAAUUUACCGAUACAGAAAUUUAUGACAAUAACCAACAUCAUUUUGCCCAUAUUGGUAUAUUCAAAAAAUAAAUAAAUAAAAGUUGGUUUCGGAUGUGUGUAGGUAGGCUAUGGUCUCAUGUCCCUUUAAGACGCUGUCCUACAUCAGAGACGUGACUCCACCCCAUCCAGUCAGUAACAAAGAGGGAAAGACAGGUGAGGAGAUGGAGGACGGAGAGAAAGUUGUAGCAGCUGAAGUAGACAAAGUUAAUGUGGGAGGGGGUGAGCAGCUUGUGGAGUAGUUAUCGCCCAUUUAUCGUUAUCGAGGUGAACUGAUCAAUAUAUCGUGAUAUUGAUUUGAGGCCAUAUCGCCCAGCCCUACAUGUGUGUGUUUCUGGGUUGUACCACUCAGCUGCAGGAGCCUUUUAUUCUUACAUCACAAGUGACCACACACAGAGGAGGAUCUGUGACCAGGCUGUGUGUGAGUGUAAUUGCGUGUCUGUCCUGCUGCUGGUACCUGUGUGUUUGGUCAUCACGGCACCUGAACUGUGUAAACACCUGUCAUAUUCGUCUGGCCGUACUCAUUCACUCCUCAUGCACGUUUGUGUGUUAAUGUGUGUUUGUGUGUCCGUGCUUAUAUCUGCAGGACAUGUCUGUGCUCAGUGAUGCAGGGGUAAUGAUCAGAAGAGCACGCAUGAACACUUGUGAGUACUACUGCACGAUACACACAUAAACUCACUCUUACAUACAGUGCUCCUGUCACUCAUAAUGAGUAUUCAUAUUUCUCCCAGAAAUAUGAAAAUUUCUGACUGCUGAUCCGACACAAGUGCCUCGUGGUAUUUCCAGAGUCUGAGAGCUAAAGGUUAGAGCGUGUGACCUGAAUCCCCAGACACUCACUCUGGAAGUCUUGGCAGGAGCGACGAGGGGAGUAACAACCUCUGCUGCAUCAGUGAGUACCACAGAAAUCCCCUGAGCAAGGCACUUAACCCACAGUGGCUUUAGGAGAGCUGCCCUGAGUGUCAUAAUUGUUAUCAAAGCCCCUAGAUACAACACCGAGAGGUCAACUCGCCGCACAGUGCCUGGGAUCUCUGUGACUUAAUCUCAUAUUAAUAAGAAACGAUGACGACAUUCAAAUCUAUUUGACCCCACAUUUCCAAAGACUGUUAUGGAUGAGCUGCAGUUAGAAUGGGGUCCAAAUGAAGGCAAUGAAGGAUUCAGGAAUUAACUGUUCGACAUGGACAUAAAGUAAUGGCAGUUUGGGAGAAAAUCAAACCUGUUACCUCAUUUCAAACCAGAUUUAUUUACUUUAUUCCUCUUCCCAAAAAGAGGACACGCGGGGACCGAGUCACGGAGUCACACAAAGUUAAUUUUGAGAGUUUUUCGGGUCGGAUCAAGAGUCUUUUAUGCGUUUCUAACUCAGUAAGACCAGGUGACACAAAAUCAAAACUCGUACAAAACCGCGGACAUUUGAAGGAUUUUAUAAACUUCCUCGGGACAUAGCUUGACAGCCCCCAAAAAAGAGGACAUGUCCGGGUAAAAGAGGACGUAUGGUCCCUUAUAUUAAAGCUCCUGAGAGAAACUUUUGGCAUUCUUCGCAUAUCUUGUCUUGAUUGAUUUUUGACCAAAAACUUAAUCCUGCUGAUUUCUGACAGUCAAAUUUAUUACUUACUAUGGACAUUUAAUGAGAAAAUUGCAAAAUCCAUGAGCUGACACUUGCCUCCUCACACCGAUUUCACAAUUUAGGAUAUGAAAAUCUUUUGUUUCGUUGCCAAUCGUCAUGUUUGCUUUGGGGUACCAUGAUAGGAAUCAAUAUGAAUUUCAGUUUAUUUCAUUAACCUUAAAAAAAACUCUUCACAUGAGCUUCGAGGAUAAAAGCAACACAUUCAUUAGUAUGAGAGGGGUGGGCGAGUGAUCAAAGCUCUGUACACAGAGGCUGAAGUCCUGCUCCAACUCCACCUUUUAUUGAUUUUUUUAAGAAAACAGCUAAAUGAAAAAUCUGUGGAGUGGUUAUUUAUUUUGAAUCUGCUUUUGAGAUGAAAAGUGAUAAUUGAUAAGAAGUUACCAAGACUCUCCAAACUGUUCGUAUCCGAAUAAAAGCACUAGAGAAAUGGUUCAGUGUUAGAAUUUUGACUUGAAGCAUGAGUCUUGUACAAACGCUGCAGAUUCAAAGCUUCAGGUUCUGUUACCAUCUAUUACCUGUUGAUGAUUAGUUUCAGCCUGUGCCCCACAGAUAGGACUGUUUUCUGUAGAACCAUGGACUGCACACAGUUCUGUCUGGGACUGAAACCAUAACCAGCUUUAGUUUUUAAAAAAUACUGUUUGUCUGCAUUUAAUCCCUCCAUCCAUUCAUCCUGUUUCCAAUGUCCUCGGUUUUAUUUUGUGUCAGUUAGAUGAUUUGGGAGCCCCUGUUGCCUGACGGCUGUUUCCAUGGUGACCAGGUCUCUGAAAUAUAUUUGUGCAGUUUCUUCCCUGCCUUCACUGCACUAUAUCUCUGUUCUUAUCUUUGACCUGAAAGCACAAUCUUUCCCGUGAUUCAGCUUUGUUCCUCUUUCAACAGCUCCCUGCUGCUCACACACACCGGGAUCCGGUCCAGGACCAUCGAUCCAGAGGAGGAAGGAGGAAGAGGCGGGGAGGAGGAAAGGUUGGACUGAUGUUCAAGAGCACAAUUCAGGAUGCUUUGAAAUGGAAAUGCAUCAUAGGACACUUUUUACUUCUCAGCUCAGGGGCACGAAUGUUAAAGCUGCCUUGAGUGAGGAAGGGCCUGACUUUUGUGGUUUUCUAUCUUGAACACACAAGCUAUAUGAGGUUUGAUCCUGAGGGACAGAGCCUGUGGUUUGACAAACUUAAAGGAAUAUUCCAGCAUAAAAUUAAUUUAGGGUCAAACACAUUGUAACACUCCUCGAGAGAUGAAUGUUACCGACCGCCUGCUUCUCUAGUUAUAUCAACUUUAGUAACGACCGCAGGAUAGCAAUACAGAGAGGUCUGAGGAGCCAUAAACAAACCUCAACCAAAACGCCACUCUAUAGCCACAAAUAAUGCUCAGAACAGCACCUAACUUCAUCAACAGGACAUAUAGGGUCACAGCCAUAGUACUAGCCACCACACAUCUUUUUAACUUUGACUAAUUUCUUUAGCAAAGAGACUAAACACAACUCACCUACUCUCUCCCAGCAGUCGCUUGUUUGUAGCGAGACCUCGGGCCUGUCCAUUACAGACUACAGCGGGGUGACGCAGCUCAAGGAAGAACAUUUAUGAUCAUUAAAUUAACUUUACGCCGGAAUAUCCCUUUAAGUCUAAUCAUUUACCAAAAUAUAAAAAUAAAAAUUAAUGCAAGAAUGAAACAAAAAUGGGUUGACAUAAAAUUUAAUUCAUGACUUGAAGUAGCAUCGUCUUGCUCUAAGAGUUAUUUUGAAUUUCAAAGUGACUUCCUCUCAGAAGGAGCUAAUAAACUUAAUAUUCCUACUCUCCAACCAUUCUGUCAGUCCCUCAAUCUAUGCAUAUACAUCAUUUCAAAAUAAAAGCAUGCUUUCACACUCUAGGACAUAAAGCAACUCAAACACAAGACAGUAAAAGUGUCAAAAUAAAAGCAUUACAAACCGUCGUUUUCAAAGGCAGUCUCUUCCCCAAAGGUCAACACAAACUGGGUCACUUACAUUAACCUUUACCACAGUGUGUGUCGACUACUGCAGCAAAGAUUACGCCGGAGAAUAUGUCAAAUUAAAGCCAUGUACCUCAAAUAUAAAACGUGCUUACGGAUAAUAUGUAACGCAGAAUAACACACAGACAAUAAUCAAAGUAAUAACAUUGUCAUUGUGAAUAUUCUUGAUUAAUUUAAAUCCAUAACAGCCCUGAACAGAAGAUACAACACACUGCAACAGCUGCUAAAUGGGAAAAACAUCAUUUUUUUAGUGUUUCUUUUUUUUUUCCAGGUCACUUUGAAAAAACAAAAACUUGAUUGAUGGCUCGAACUCGAGGGAUGACAAAGCGGUGCAGAAACCAGGCCACUCUUACAUUGUGAUGGAGGGGAGUAUUGAUCCCAUUUGGACACAGUGACUGCUUCGAAUUAGAAUCACACAGGCAUGCACUCAUACUAAGAAUCCUGCACGCAGCCUCACAGGCAAACAUUUACAUAGCAACACAAACAUGUCUGUGCAGUCACAACUAGACGACAACAUUUACACACACUAAGUGGAUCACUGUCUCAUUAGCUCCUGUGUUAUGCAAUCAAGUAUGCUUUCCUUUCCAUCACUUCUUAACUGUUCAUCAUUGUGUGCAUGCGUGUGUGUGCAUAUAUGGCAGCUGCGUAAUAUCCACGGCCUUUUGCUCCAUCUUAAGUCUCUAAAAACAGCAGUAUAAUUGUCUAAUCUCCCACAGCAGGUGGUGCAUACAGAAAUAAAACAUGUGAGGAGGCUGCAGCUUCCCUCUGACCACCUCCAACACACAUUGUUUCCAUGUGAUCCCUGUUCUCUUGUGUGCGUGGCGGUGGUUUCCAUUCCCUGGAAUAACUCAGUGUAAGCCAUCUUUAUUCCAGUGUGAUGCUGCAGAAAGAACCAGCUCAGGUCUGAUUUCAUAUCAGUUAAUUCUCUCACCCUCUAUGUCUCCUUUCCCGUCACUAUCGGCACAAAUUGAAGAUCAUCCCGUGUUUUUUAGUCUUCACUGAUGCUCACAUCUGCCAUCAAAAAUGAUGACAUGCUAAUGCAGGCUGUAUCCUGCAUUCAGAGGACGGUGUGUUUGUUCCGGUGUUUGCCCCAGAUGAUAGUGAUGAUGCAGAUGUGCAUUUUGUUUUUGUUUCACAGCAAAGAACAAGAUUCACACUGAACAGAUGCUGCCAAUUAAGCAAAAACACACAAGGGAGGUGAUUCAAUCCACCUCAUCUUUGGAAUUAUAAUAAGAAUUUUAAAAAAUACAAAGGACUGGAGAUGUUUAUAAAGUAUUUGUAGAGAACCUCACCAAUGCAUCCAUCUUUUAGUACACUUUAUGUCUCAUAUUGGUGAUAAACCAGACUGGAUUACCACCAUCCAUUGACUUUGUUGGCAGUCCAACAGCAGGUUCAGAUAGUUUGAGGGUCUAGUUUUAUUUAUUUAUUUAUUUAUUUUUUAACAAAAAACAAGAGCCCAGUUAAAAACAAGGCCUCCGAAUUGAAGGUCAAUUUCAUUUGUCAUAAGGAACCCAGACAAUACAAGAACCCUACAACAUAAAAUGUGACAGUAGUUCAAAUAAGACAUAAUUUCUUAAAACAGCAUAACAAAUAUAAGUGAUGUUGUCUUAAAUCAAGAUACCAAAACAUUCUCAUUUAAUAUAUAUUUUUAUUCCACAAGCAGGCAUGAAGAAAACAAGCAUGUUCUUUGUGGUUUUGCAGUUUUCAUCUGGUCAUUGUAUUAUGUUGUGUGUCGUACAGACUAGCCUCCUGACGUCUUUAUAUGUCAGAUAAUGUAUGAUUCAGCGGAUUCUGUCAGGUUCAGAUGACCUGCAAUAGAAAUCUUCAUUUAAAAAAAAAAUGCUUCAUGGCAUUCUUGAAUUGAAAAGUUGUACAUAUAUCUUACUCUUAAAAUGAGACGAAUAAUCUUGUUGCUCCGCCG
Molecule: long non-coding RNA, 7447 nt
Filed under: Xyrichtys novacula (pearly razorfish)
Lineage: Eukaryota; Metazoa; Chordata; Actinopteri; Labriformes; Labridae
Source: RNAcentral